Small nuclear RNA from Camelus dromedarius (Arabian camel), 158 nucleotides. Its record names the gene U1. It matches the Rfam family "U1 spliceosomal RNA". From Rfam's summary of the family: U1 is a small nuclear RNA (snRNA) component of the spliceosome (involved in pre-mRNA splicing). Its 5' end forms complementary base pairs with the 5' splice junction, thus defining the 5' donor site of an intron. The record is from Ensembl. NCBI's taxonomy places the organism in Eukaryota, Metazoa, Chordata, Mammalia, Artiodactyla, Camelidae.
AACCUUACCUGGCAGGGGAGAUACCAUGAUCAUGAAGGUGGUUUUCCCAGGGCGAGGCUUAUCCAUUGCACUCCGGAUGUGCUGACUCCUGCGAUUUCCCCAAGUAUGGGAAACCCAUAAUUUGUAGUAGUUGGGGACUGCGUUCGCACUUUCCCCUA